RNAcentral lists this ribosomal RNA (1551 nucleotides) under Neisseria animaloris. RNAcentral describes it as "bacterial SSU rRNA". It matches the Rfam family "Bacterial small subunit ribosomal RNA". Lineage: Bacteria; Pseudomonadati; Pseudomonadota; Betaproteobacteria; Neisseriales; Neisseriaceae. The record is from RNAcentral.
AGAGAUUGAACAUAAGAGUUUGAUCCUGGCUCAGAUUGAACGCUGGCGGCAUGCUUUACACAUGCAAGUCGAACGGCAGCACGGAAGAGCUUGCUCUUUUGGUGGCGAGUGGCGAACGGGUGAGUAAUACAUCGGAACGUACCGAGUAGUGGGGGAUAACUGUCCGAAAGGAUGGCUAAUACCGCAUAUUCUCUGAGGAGGAAAGCAGGGGACCUUCGGGCCUUGCGCUAUUUGAGCGGCCGAUGUCUGAUUAGCUAGUUGGUGGGGUAAAGGCCUACCAAGGCGACGAUCAGUAGCGGGUCUGAGAGGAUGAUCCGCCACACUGGGACUGAGACACGGCCCAGACUCCUACGGGAGGCAGCAGUGGGGAAUUUUGGACAAUGGGGGGAACCCUGAUCCAGCCAUGCCGCGUGUCUGAAGAAGGCCUUCGGGUUGUAAAGGACUUUUGUCAGGGAAGAAAAGCUUGAGGUUAAUACCCUUGGGUGAUGACGGUACCUGAAGAAUAAGCACCGGCUAACUACGUGCCAGCAGCCGCGGUAAUACGUAGGGUGCGAGCGUUAAUCGGAAUUACUGGGCGUAAAGCGGGCGCAGACGGUUACUUAAGUCAGAUGUGAAAUCCCCGGGCUCAACCUGGGAACUGCGUUUGAAACUGGGUGACUAGAGUAUGUCAGAGGGGGGUAGAAUUCCACGUGUAGCAGUGAAAUGCGUAGAGAUGUGGAGGAAUACCGAUGGCGAAGGCAGCCCCCUGGGAUAAUACUGACGUUCAUGCCCGAAAGCGUGGGUAGCAAACAGGAUUAGAUACCCUGGUAGUCCACGCCCUAAACGAUGUCAAUUAGCUGUUGGGGUACUUGAUGCCUUAGUAGCGUAGCUAACGCGUGAAAUUGACCGCCUGGGGAGUACGGUCGCAAGAUUAAAACUCAAAGGAAUUGACGGGGACCCGCACAAGCGGUGGAUGAUGUGGAUUAAUUCGAUGCAACGCGAAGAACCUUACCUGGUCUUGACAUGUACGGAAUCCUCCAGAGACGGAGGAGUGCCUUCGGGAGCCGUAACACAGGUGCUGCAUGGCUGUCGUCAGCUCGUGUCGUGAGAUGUUGGGUUAAGUCCCGCAACGAGCGCAACCCUUGUCAUUAGUUGCCAUCAUUAAGUUGGGCACUCUAAUGAGACUGCCGGUGACAAGCCGGAGGAAGGUGGGGAUGACGUCAAGUCCUCAUGGCCCUUAUGACCAGGGCUUCACACGUCAUACAAUGGUCGGUACAGAGGGUAGCCAAGCCGCGAGGUGGAGCCAAUCCCAGAAAACCGAUCGUAGUCCGGAUUGCACUCUGCAACUCGAGUGCAUGAAGUCGGAAUCGCUAGUAAUCGCAGGUCAGCAUACUGCGGUGAAUACGUUCCCGGGUCUUGUACACACCGCCCGUCACACCAUGGGAGUGGGGGAUACCAGAAGUAGGUAGGGUAACCGUAAGGAGCCCGCUUACCACGGUAUGCUUCAUGACUGGGGUGAAGUCGUAACAAGGUAGCCGUAGGGGAACCUGCGGCUGGAUCACCUCCUUUCUA